Molecule: ribosomal RNA, 442 nt
Filed under: uncultured bacterium
Lineage: Bacteria
Description: bacterial SSU rRNA
Rfam family: Bacterial small subunit ribosomal RNA
Source: RNAcentral
AACGCGAAGAACCUUACCUGGGCUCGAACGGCUUAAGAUCAUCUUUGGAAACAGAGACUUCUCGCAAGAGACUUGAGUCGAGGUGCUGCAUGGCUGUCGUCAGCUCGUGUCGUGAGAUGUUGGGUUAAGUCCCGCAACGAGCGCAACCCUUGUCCUGUGUUGCCACUCCGCAAGGAAGCACUCUCAGGAGACCGCCAGCGAUAAGUUGGAGGAAGGUGGGGAUGAUGUCAAGUCAUCAUGGCCUUUAUGUCCAGGGCUACACACGUGCUACAAUGGGCGGUACAAAGCGCUGCAAACCCGCGAGGGGGAGCCAAUCGCAAAAAACCGUUCUCAGUUCGGAUCGCAGGCUGCAACUCGCCUGCGUGAAGCUGGAAUCGCUAGUAAUGCCGUAUCAGAAUGAUGGCGUGAAUACGUUCCCGGGCCUUGUACACACCGCUCGCGA